CCUAAAUACUACCCAGUGACCGAUAGCGUAUAGUACUGUGAAGGAAAGGUGAAAAGCACCCCGGGAGGGGAGUGAAAAAGAACCUGAAACCCUGUGCCUACAAGCACCUAGAGCACGUCAAUGUGUGAUAGGGUACUUUUUGUAGAACGGUCCGGCGAGCGAUUGUAUGCAGCAAGGUUAAGGACUUAAGGUCUGGAGCCGAAGCGAAAGCGAGUUUGAAAAGGGCGUUAAGUUGCAUAUAAUGGGCCCGAAACCGGGUGACCUACCCAUGGUCAGGUUGAAGUGGAAGUAAAAUUCCAUGGAGGACCGAACCGACCUCCGUUGAAAAGGCGGCGGAUGAACUGUGGGUAGCGGAGAAAUUCCAAUCGAACCCGGAGAUAGCUGGUUCUCCCCGAAAUAGUUUUAGGACUAGCCUCAAGUUAGAUACCUGGAGGUAAAGCACUGAAUAGCCUAGCGGCCGAGAGGUUAGCGAAGCUUAUCAAACUCAGAAUGCCAGAGUAUUGAUGCUUGGGAGUCAGACAGUGUCAGAUAAAUGUCAUUGUCAAAAGGGAAACAGCCCAGAUCUACAGCUAAGGUCCCAAAGUCAGGUUAAGUGGAAAACGAUGUGAAGAUACGCAGACAACCAGGAUGUUGGCUCAGAAGCAGCCACUCAUUCAAAGAGUGCGUAAUAGCUCACUGGUCGAGCGUCUUUGCGCGGAGAAUUUAACGGGGCUAAACCUGACACCGAAGCUUAGGCAAUCCAGUAAUGGAUUGGGUAGGGGAGCGUUGUAUACGCGGAGAAACAGUAGCGUAAGCGGCUGUGGAGUGUAUAGAAGUGAGAAUGCCGGAAUGAGUAGCGCGAAUGCAGUGAGAAUCUGCAUGGCCGAAAGCCUCAGGUUUUUGGAGGAAGGUUCGUCCGCUCCAAGUUAGUCGGGAGCUAAGGUGAGGCCGGAAGGCGUAGCCGAUGCACAGACGGUAGAGAUUCCGUCACCACCAAAAGAGUUAAGCACAGGGACACAUUUGAAGUCUCAGAGCCGGGUGUUGGUUCCGGUAGAGAUCGAGGGAAGUUAGUACCGAAGUCUGGGAUGGAAGAUGGCGAGAAAAGCUGUGUGUAUUUCUGAGGUGCCCGUACCGCAAACCGACACAGGUAGGUAGGAAGAAGAUUCUAAGGCCAACGGGAGAAGGGUUGUUAAGGAACUCGGCAAAUUGACCCCGUAACUUCGGGAGAAGGGGUGCUCCAGAGAUGGAGCCGCAGAGAAUCGGCCCAAGCAACUGUUUACCAAAAACACAGGUUUGUGCUAAAUCGAAAGAUGACGUAUACGAGCUGACGCCUGCCCGGUGCUGGAAGGUUAAGAGGAGAUGUGCAAGCAUUGAAUCGAAGCCCCAGUGAACGGCGGCCGUAACUAUAACGGUCCUAAGGUAGCGAAAUUCCUUGUCAGGUAAGUUCUGACCCGCAUGAAAGGCGUAAUGAUUUGGGCACUGUCUCAACAGCCCGCCCGGCGAAAUUGUAGUACCGGUGAAGAUGCCGGUUACCCGCGACAAGACGGAAAGACCCCAUGGAGCUUUACUGUAGCCUAAUAUUGGGUUUCGAUGUUGCAUGCACAGGAUAGAUGGGACACUGGGAAACAAUCGCUUUGGCGGUUGCGGAGUGGCCGUUGGGAUACCAUCCUUGCGAUAUUGGAAUUCUAACCUGCGGCUCUGAAUCGAGUCGGGGGACAUUGUUAGGUGGGCAGUUUGACUGGGGCGGUCGCCUCCUAAAAAGUAACGGAGGCGUUCAAAGGUUCGCUCAGCUUGAACGGAAAUCAAGCAAAAGAGUGCAAACGCAGAAGCGAGCCUAACUGCGAGACUGACGGGUCGAGCAGUAACGAAAGUUGGAGUUAGUGAUCCGGUGGUAUGUGAGUGGAAAUGCCAUCGCUCAACGGAUAAAAGUUACCCUGGGGAUAACAGGCUGAUCUCCCCCAAGAGUCCACAUCGACGGGGAGGUUUGGCACCUCGAUGUCGGCUCAUC
Molecule: ribosomal RNA, 1987 nt
Filed under: human gut metagenome
Description: bacterial LSU rRNA
Rfam family: Bacterial large subunit ribosomal RNA
Source: RNAcentral